CGGGACGGGUGAGUAACGCGUGGAUAACCUGCCUCACACUGGGGGAUAACAGUUAGAAAUGGCUGCUAAUACCGCAUAAGCGCACAGUACCGCAUGGUACGGUGUGAAAAACCCAGGUGGUGUGAGAUGGAUCCGCGUCUGAUUAGCCAGUUGGCGGGGUAACGGCCCACCAAAGCGACGAUCAGUAGCCGACCUGAGAGGGUGACCGGCCACAUUGGGACUGAGACACGGCCAA
Molecule: ribosomal RNA, 235 nt
Filed under: uncultured bacterium
Lineage: Bacteria
Description: partial 16S ribosomal RNA
Rfam family: Bacterial small subunit ribosomal RNA
Source: RNAcentral